GACGAACGCUGGCGGCGUGCCUAAUACAUGCAAGUAGAACGCUGAAGGAGGAGCUUGCUUCUCCGGAUGAGUUGCGAACGGGUGAGUAACGCGUAGGUAACCUGCCUGGUAGCGGGGGGUAACUAUUGGAAACGAUAGCUAAUACCGCAUAACAGUAGAUAUUGCAUGACAACUGCUUGAAAGGUGCAAUUGCAUCACUACCAGAUGGACCUGCGUUGUAUUAGCUAGUUGGUGAGGUAACGGCUCACCAAGGCGACGAUACAUAGCCGACCUGAGAGGGUGAUCGGCCACACUGGGACUGAGACACGGCCCAGACUCCUACGGGAGGCAGCAGUAGGGAAUCUUCGGCAAUGGACGGAAGUCUGACCGAGCAACGCCGCGUGAGUGAAGAAGGUUUUCGGAUCGUAAAGCUCUGUUGUAAGAGAAGAACGAGUGUGAGAGUGGAAAGUUCACACUGUGACGGUAUCUUACCAGAAAGGGACGGCUAACUACGUGCCAGCAGCCGCGGUAAUACGUAGGUCCCGAGCGUUGUCCGGAUUUAUUGGGCGUAAAGCGAGCGCAGGCGGUUAGAUAAGUCUGAAGUUAAAGGCUGUGGCUUAACCAUAGUACGCUUUGGAAACUGUUUAACUUGAGUGCAAGAGGGGAGAGUGGAAUUCCAUGUGUAGCGGUGAAAUGCGUAGAUAUAUGGAGGAACACCGGUGGCGAAAGCGGCUCUCUGGCUUGUAACUGACGCUGAGGCUCGAAAGCGUGGGGAGCAAACAGGAUUAUAUACCCUAGUAGUCCGAGGGCGAAUUCCACAGUGGAUAUCAAGCUUAUCGAUACCGUCGACCUCGAGGGGGAAACAGGGUACCGAAGCUUUUGUUCCCUUUAGUGAGGGUUAAUUUAGAGGUGUCGUUUUUUAUGCCUGUUAUGUCCUUGUGUGUGUUGCCUGUUUGCUGACUGGCGUUGUGUAUGGGUGGUGUGUGCUAGGUUCUGUGGUUGUGGGUGUGCGUGUGUGGCUUGGUUGAUUGGUGGGGGUGGUGUUGUGUGUGUGUGUGGAAGGAUCGUGUGUCUGUUGCUGUAGUGUGCGUAUUGUCCGUGCGGGUGUGUGAUGUUGGCGUGUCGAGCUGGUGUAGACUGUAGAUGUGUUGAGUGAUAG
Molecule: ribosomal RNA, 1138 nt
Filed under: uncultured Streptococcus sp.
Lineage: Bacteria; Bacillati; Bacillota; Bacilli; Lactobacillales; Streptococcaceae
Description: bacterial SSU rRNA
Rfam family: Bacterial small subunit ribosomal RNA (bases 1-826)
Source: RNAcentral